CGGAGGAAAAGAAACCAACAGGGAUUGCCUUAGUAGCGGCGAGUGAAGCGGCAAAAGCUCAAAUUUGAAAUCUGGCUCUUUCAGAGUCCGAGUUGUAAUUUGAAGAAGGUAUCUUUGGGUCUGGCUCUUGUCUAUGUUUCUUGGAACAGAACGUCACAGAGGGUGAGAAUCCCGUGCGAUGAGAUGAUCCAGGCCUAUGUAAAGUUCCUUCGAAGAGUCGAGUUGUUUGGGAAUGCAGCUCUAAGUGGGUGGUAAAUUCCAUCUAAAGCUAAAUAUUGGCGAGAGACCGAUAGCGAACAAGUACAGUGAUGGAAAGAUGAAAAGAACUUUGAAAAGAGAGUGAAAAAGUACGUGAAAUUGUUGAAAGGGAAGGGCUUGAGAUCAGACUUGGUAUUUUGUAUGUUACUUCUUCGGGGGUGGCCUCUACAGUUUAUCGGGCCAGCAUCAGUUUGGGCGGUAGGAGAAUUGCGUUGGAAUGUGGCACGGCUUCGGUUGUGUGUUAUAGCCUUCGUCGAUACUGCCAGCCUAGACUGAGGACUGCGG
This 543-nucleotide ribosomal RNA is filed under the name fungal endophyte. Its description in RNAcentral is "eukaryotic LSU rRNA". It matches the Rfam family "Eukaryotic large subunit ribosomal RNA", at positions 51 to 600 of the family's 3401-position model. The record is from RNAcentral. Lineage: Eukaryota; Fungi.